This 468-nucleotide ribosomal RNA is filed under the name uncultured bacterium. Its description in RNAcentral is "partial 16S ribosomal RNA". It matches the Rfam family "Bacterial small subunit ribosomal RNA", at positions 28 to 507 of the family's 1533-position model. The record is from RNAcentral.
GACGAACGCUGGCGGCGUGCUUAACACAUGCAAGUCGAACGGAAAGGCCCUGCUUUUGUGGUGUGCUCGAGUGGCGAACGGGUGAGUAACACGUGAGUAACCUGCCCUUGACUUUGGGAUAACUUCAGGAAACUGCGGCUAAUACCGGAUAGGAGCUCCUGCUGCAUGGUGGGGGUUUGAAAGUUUCGGCGGUUGGGGAUGGACUCGCGGCUUAUCAGCUUGUUGGUGGGGUAGUGGCUUACCAAGGCUUUGACGGGUAGCCGGCCUGAGAGGGUGACCGGCCACAUUGGGACUGAGAUACGGCCCAGACUCCUACGGGAGGCAGCAGUGGGGAAUAUUGCACAAUGGGCGGAAGCCUGAUGCAGCAACGCCGCGUGAGGGAUGACGGCCUUCGGGUUGUAAACCGCUUUCGCCUGUGACGAAGCGUGAGUGACGGUAAUGGGUAAAGAAGCACCGGCUAACUACGUG